Molecule: non-coding RNA, 73 nt
Organism: Phrynosoma platyrhinos (Desert horned lizard)
Lineage: Eukaryota; Metazoa; Chordata; Lepidosauria; Squamata; Phrynosomatidae
Source: the annotation of a GenBank genome assembly
GCCAGUGUGGUAUAGUGGUUUGAGAAUUGGACUAAAAUGCUGGAGAUCAGGGUUUGAUUCCCUGCUCUUGGCA